Molecule: transfer RNA, 68 nt
Filed under: Marmota monax (woodchuck)
Lineage: Eukaryota; Metazoa; Chordata; Mammalia; Rodentia; Sciuridae
Description: tRNA.Val
Source: RNAcentral
GGGAUGGAGCUCAGUGGUACAGCACUUGCCUAACAUGCAAGGCCCAGGGUUCAAUUCCCAGUAGCACA